GCCGGGUGUGGUGGUGCACACCUGUAAUCCCAGCUACUUGGGAGGCUGAGGCUGGAGAAUCACUUGAACCAGGGACGUGGAGACUGCAGUGAGCAGAGAUCGUGCCACUGCACUCUAGCCUGGGUGACAAAGCAAGACUCCGUCUCAA
Unclassified non-coding RNA from Macaca mulatta (Rhesus monkey), 148 nucleotides. It matches the Rfam family "Metazoan signal recognition particle RNA". Rfam says of the family: The signal recognition particle (SRP) is a universally conserved ribonucleoprotein. Lineage: Eukaryota; Metazoa; Chordata; Mammalia; Primates; Cercopithecidae. The record is from Ensembl.